UGCCGCCGCUUGUCCGUUCGUAUCAGUCUUCGUUCAUACGCCACCGUAAAACGACCAGUUUUUCCCGACCGGGGGGAGGGGUAACUCGCGCGUGUUCGUUGGCGGGCUCGUUAUCCCCCGAUCGCGGUGCAUCUCUAAUCGUGCGGAAACGUCUGUCGGUGGAAAAUUUACGUUUAAAAGUUCAAUAAUUGCGGACCGUUCGAGUGUUUUGAUCGCGUGUAAAAUUGUUGGUGAUUUCGAGCGGAGGAGUGUGCGUGUUUCUGCGAUAGGCAAAUAUUAAUAAUAAUAAUAAAAAAAAAAAAAAAACAGAAAAAAAACCACCCUCGUCUCGUGAUCGCAAUAUCAUCAAUUUACAAUUGCAAAACAUAAACUCGUUAUCAUUACACACACACAGUAAUACAGUACACGUAUACGGGUGGUGCUUUUCAGUAUGUAUCUAUCGUUCUUGGACGAACAGUUUGCGGAGACUAGCCCCGUCUAGUAAGGAUCGGCAGUCUUGAGCCUAUUUGAGCGGUCAACCACGCCUCGGUAUAUACAACUCGUUGACCACUGCACAGUUCACUCAAAUUUUCAAUAUUUUCAACAUUUGGCUUUUAGAGAUUGCUACAAAUAAAGAAGUUAUGUCGUUUUAAAUAAUGUAUGAAAUGCUUAUCAUGAAAACAAUUCUACUACAAAGUCUCUAGAAUCUCCACCAAGUUCCUUAAGUAAGAAAUCAGCGGUGGCGGCGGCGACGACGACGACAGAUUCGAUGUUCAACAAAACGUCGGCGGCGGCGGUGGCCGCGACGGCGGCGAUG
Long non-coding RNA from Melanaphis sacchari, 796 nucleotides. RefSeq lists it as uncharacterized. The record is from RefSeq and is a predicted model, not a curated record. Lineage: Eukaryota; Metazoa; Arthropoda; Insecta; Hemiptera; Aphididae. The transcript is spliced from 4 exons.